AUACCGCCUUGAGAAUGCCUGGUCUCAUCAGCUAAGCAAGGUUGGGUCUGGUUAGUACUUGAAUGGGAGACCGCUGGGAAUAUCAGGUA
RNAcentral lists this ribosomal RNA (89 nucleotides) under Periophthalmus magnuspinnatus. The record is from RNAcentral. Lineage: Eukaryota; Metazoa; Chordata; Actinopteri; Gobiiformes; Gobiidae.